Molecule: ribosomal RNA, 497 nt
Filed under: uncultured bacterium
Lineage: Bacteria
Description: partial 16S ribosomal RNA
Rfam family: Bacterial small subunit ribosomal RNA
Source: RNAcentral
GAUGAACGCUGGCGGCGUGCCUAAUACAUGCAAGUCGAGCGAACAGACGAGGAGCUUGCUCCUCUGAGGUUGGCGGCGGUGGGGAGAGUCACACGUGGAUAACCUACCUAUAAGACUCGGAUAACUUCGGGAAACCGGAGCUAAUACCGGAUAAUUUAUUGAACCGCAUGGUUCAAUAGUGAAAGACGGUUUUUCUUUCAGUUAUAGACGGACCCGCGCCGCAUUAGUUAGUUGGUAAGGUAACGGCUUUCCCAGGCAACGAUGCGUAGCCGACCUGAGCGCGUGAUCGGCUACACUGGAACUGAGGCAGAGGUCACACUCGUACGGUGGGUAGCGGUAGGGAAUCUUCCGCAAUGCGCGAAAGCUUGACAGAACAACGCCGCGGGAAUGCUGAAGGACCUCGGAUCGUAAAAUUAUGAUAUUCUGGAAGAACAAAUGUGUAUUUAACUGGGCACGUCUUGACGGUACCAGAACAGAAAGCCCCGGCUAACUACGUG